CCCUUAGAUGUUCUGGGCCGCACGCGCGCUACAAUGAUGAAUUCAACGAGUUUAUAACCUUGGUUGAAAAGCCUGGGUAAUCUUUUGAACUUUCGUCGUGAUGAGGCUAGACCCUUGCAAUUAUUGGUCUCCAACGAGGAAUUCCUAGUAAACGCAAGUCAUCAGCUUGCAUUGAUUACGUCCCUGCCCUUUGUACACACCGCCCGUCGCACCUACCGAUUGAAUGGUCCGGUGAAAUCUUCGGAUUGAGACUUUGAUUUCUUCACGGAAAACGCUGUUUUAAAAAGUUGAUUAAACCUUACCAUUUAGAGGAAGGUGAAGUCGUAACA
This 329-nucleotide ribosomal RNA is filed under the name uncultured eukaryote. RNAcentral describes it as "partial 18S ribosomal RNA". It matches the Rfam family "Eukaryotic small subunit ribosomal RNA", at positions 1470 to 1796 of the family's 1831-position model. The record is from RNAcentral.